This 6102-nucleotide long non-coding RNA is filed under the name Mytilus galloprovincialis (Mediterranean mussel). Lineage: Eukaryota; Metazoa; Mollusca; Bivalvia; Mytilida; Mytilidae. The record is from RNAcentral.
CUGGAAUUGAUACGAUCAAAUAAAGUAUUUGGAAAAAAAAGGAAGAAUCGUUGGCAAUACAUUAAAGCCGACACUAGUUUUUGGUAAGUAUAUACAUUUGUACUAAUAUUGCUGUCAAUUAUUACUAUACAAUUUUACUAAAAUUAUGUUUACGACCAGGGCAAACAGUUUUCAUAUAAAUUUUAAAAAAAAUGACCAGUGUUUAUACAUGAGAGCGCAGGAGUUAAUUUAUGCGAGCGCCAGUGUUAAUAUUAUACAAGUACAAUUUGGUGUUAUUUCAAAUGAACUGAUAUAUCGAGACUAUAUUUUGUAUGUAUUAAAUGGUUGUCGUUGGUAGAUGUCUGUAAGAUUUGUUUUGGUUUAUUGCUUUGACAUAAAUCAAGACCAUUGACUUACUACUUUAAAUAAAGGCAACAGUAGUAUACCGAUGUUCAAACUCAUAAAUCCAUGGACAAAAAACAAAAUCGGGGUAACAAACUAAAACUGGGGGAAACGCAUUAAAUAUAAGAGGAGAACAACGACACAACACUACAUUUCCGAUUUUGCCAAUUUGGGACCUAUUACAGCUUAAAACAUCCGGGAAUGAUUUGUGGAUUGUUUGAAGUCGUAUGGUGUUUACAUCCGAAACAUGUAGGCUCUGGUGGAAUUCAUCAUUUGUUAUUGCAUUUUUUAAGCCAUCUAUUGAAGGUUUGACUGUCAACGUGUCUGCUUUAUUCAAGGCUGACAAAAUAUUUUGUUAUUGAGAAAAACUUUUUCUUUUAAGUUUAGGUGGUCCAUUCAAAUUUUUCAUUGGUUGGAGAAUUGAAAUAACGAUUUGCAAGUUCACAAUGUUAAAAAGAUCCACAUUUACUUUACAUAGACAUUCAGAAAAUUUUCAUUGGCACAAAAUAACCCUCUGUUAAAAGAGAUUAUUGAAAUCAAGUCUCCUUUAAUCUAAAAGUACAAUUCUUCAGAUCAUAAACAGACAACUUAAAAAUCAAUCAAUCUAAAUAUAUAUAUGCUGAAUCCACUACAUAUUGCCACACGAUUAGGUAAAACACGCAAGAAACAUCAAAAACUUUCUCCCAUUUUUGAAAUUAAAUAUCCCACUCAUUUACGUUAUAUACAAAGUUCAAGUAUAUAGCACUUUAAUUAAGGUCAUUUGGCCAAUAAAAACAUUCCGCAGUACAAUUUAUUUCAUAUAUGAAAAAAGAAAAUAAAAGUUGUAAAUACAUCAGAAACCCCCUAGCUAUUACAAUUUCAGCAUGUGAUAAUUUUAAUGUUUACAAAAUACAAAACGUUUUCGGAAAGUCAGUAAUGAAACAAAAUAUUAAAAAAAUUAACUUUAACAAUCCUAUUUAAAGGUAUAAAAAUAACUUUUUGUUUAUCUGGUUAACAAUACAUAAAACAGGUUCUCAUAUUUUGAAUAGUUUUAAAUAGAUUGUUUAAAAGAUUAACGAUUACAAUAUUAUAAUGAAUUAUGAAAACAAAACAAAAAUUCACAUUUGUCCACUAAAUAGUCAAGGUCAAGCGAGAAAAGAAAAACGCUUUAAGUUAUUCUUUUGGUUUCAACAACAAGAAAAAAAAAUAAAAUCACAAAAAUACUGAACUCAGAGGAAAGUAUAAUCGGAAAAUCCAUAAUCACAUGGCAAAAUCAAAUGACAAAACACAUAAAAAACGAAUGGACAAGAACUGUCAUAUUCCGGACUUGGUACAGGCAUUUUCAAAUGUAAAAAAAUGUUGGUUUAAACAUGGUUUUAUUGCGCUAAACCUCUCCCUUUGAUGACAGUCUCAUCAAAUUCCGUUAUAUUUACAAUGCUGCGUGAACUAAUAAAUAAAACAGUCAAAAUAUGGGUACAUCAGUCAUCAUCGUGUAACAAUUCUAAAAGGAACAUUUUAAUGGCGCAAGAAACAUAUUUGUCUCAAGAUAUAACAAAGCAAAUUAACAAUGAAUCAGCAAGCAUCUUUAUAACCUAGGCACAACAAACUCUAGGGGAGUAUCUUUCUUCAUUAACAAAUCACUUGAUUUACUGAAUUGUAAUGAAGAAGGUAGAAUAAUCAUAAUCAAUAUGGAAAUUCAAGAUCUUCAUCUUAUUAAACUUGUAAGCACCUGAUGAAGUUCAUGCAAUAAACUAAUUUUAUAAAAACAUAAAGGAAGUAGAUUAAGUGACGAGCACAAUCUUGGUGCUUUUAAUAAUAGUAAGGGGAAUAUGAAUUAUCUACUCUCAGCUUUAGAUACAAAAAAAACUACAUAAAAGUUUAAACAGCCAAUCAAUGGUUUAAAACAAAAUGAAAACACAUAAACUAAUAGACAAUUGGCGACAAUUAAAUUAAUAUAAACAAUACACACGGAAAAGGAAAAAUUCUACAAAUGGAGCUAGAAGAUUAGACUUUUUUUUAUAAUAUGCACACAAGCACGCAUAAAUACGAUAUCUACUAACUUCAGGCCAGCACAAAUUUCAUUCACAUACCACCUAGCUAUAAGACUUAAAUAAGACAUUUUUACAAACAAUCGUUGUAAAGGAUAACUUAGAAUGAAUUUUAGUAUAUAUUAAGUGAUACUCAGUACAUUUGAUAGUCUUACCAGUAUCAUUAACUAAUAAAAAUUGAAAACAACACGUUUAAUAAUUUCUUGCGCUUUUCUGGAUGUAUCUUCAUCAGGAACGCUCAAAGCCAAACAUUUGAAAUUCCGAAGAUAUGUAUGAGCUAUAUGUGAAAAAAAACCCUAAAAUGAAUAGCCAAACUCAUCUAAAGCCAACUUUGCCUGAGGGAGUUGAAACCUUAGUUUCAUAGUAAUUUCAAAAUUUAUAAACGGACAAUUUUAGUAAAGUUGGUUAAAUCAUGUCUGUACCGAAACACAGAAUACUGAGCUGAUGAUACCCUCGGGGACUGCUAGUCCACCAGCAGAGAUAUAAUUAAUGAGUUAAUUGAAAAGUACGAGCAAAUUUAAAUGUCCUUAAUCAGUGGGAUUUGCAAAAAAUUGAUAUAUGACAGUCCAAUAUCCAAUACUAUUAAUCUUAAGCUAAAGAAAGAGAAACUAAUACUUUAGUAAUAGAAAACAAACUAGAUCUUUUAAAUGAAAGAUUAGAAAAAUUAACUGAUGGAAAAAAUAAUGAUCUUCUUAUUCAAAUAAAUAAUUAAGGUAAAAAUUUAGAAGAUAUGUACUCGUUAAAAGCCAAAGGAGCCCAAGUUAGAUAAAGAACAAAAUGGUUCAAGGAAGGUGGGAAAUACUACUUUAAUAGUACUUUUUAUCCCUAGAAAAGAAUAGACAAUCUAAAAAAUAUACUAAUAAAUUUUUAACGAAAAAUGGUGAGUUUACUGUAGAUCAACGUGAAAUUUUAGAAAUAAGUAUAGAGUAUUAUAAACCUCUUUACUAAAGCACAUGUCCUGAAACUAGUAUUUUAGAGACAUACAUAGAUAAUGCCACUAUUGACCUAUAUUUAACUCCUUGUAAAAGGAAACAAGUAGAUGGUAAAUUAACCAUAGAAUUGUUAACAUAACAUUGUUUGAAUAAUAUGAAACUAAACAAAACUCUUUGCAAAGAGGGUUUUAAAGUCGAGUUUUGUCGACAAUUUUGGUUAAAAGUAGUGUUGUCAACUGUUACCGGGUUAACCGGUUAACCGUCAGAAGGACUGAAUACAGAAUACCAAAAACUCUAACCAGUUAUCAGACUUUUUUUCGAAUUGCAAUAGAUUUGAUAUAAACGUGUAAUGAAAUAAUUUUAAAUAAUUUUGUUCUAUUCAAAAACAUCGUCGUGGUAAUUAAUUUGACAGAUCAAUUGUACAGUUUACUGAUUGCUUUUGUUUAUAAAAAGAUUUUGUUUUAAUUAGAACAGUUAUCAAAGGUAUUAAAUGGAAAGAACAUCAUCAAAUGAAUGUAUCUAAAUGUAAAUUAAUUGAGCUGGCUUCUUUUAUCUUCUUGUAUUUUUGACAAGUGUCUGGAGAAAAUUGGGUAUAUGAGAAUAAAAAAAGGUCGUCAAGGAGACAUACAGUUAUUUUUCAUAGGGAAGCGUAAAAUCACAAAUUAUAAAACAAAUAUGGGAGUUCUAUAGUUGAUAGGAAUGUACUCGUGUGCUAACAAUGAAAGAACUUAUCACACAAACUCAUUUUGAUGAGAUUCUCAUCAUUAGUAUGCAACAUUACCUUCUCGAUGCAAGUUUCGUGGUUAACUGAACAUAGAUAUGUGGUAGUGCUGGUGGGACAUAGUGUCCAUUGAAUAUAUAUAUACUCGAUUCUAUUUGUUCUAGUCCUGAGUAUGCAAAAUAUUUACCACUUGACAUUACGUACUUGAGUAAAGACUAAUAAAAUCAUUACCUAAACAACACGUUUCAUGGUGGUUACCCGUUUAAAUAUAUUGUAUCAAUAUAGAAACGUGAAAUAUAUAUUAAUAUAUAUUGCAGGAUCAUGGCCAGUAAUUGCAGUCUCUGUGGUGUUUGCGAUAAUCGUCAGAUGGCCAAAUUCGCAGUAGUCUGGUGUUCUGAAUGUGACGAAGGGCUUUGCGAAGAUUGCAAGGAACAUCACAGUAUUUCCAAGGAUGGUAAAAACCACGGAACAUAUUCAAUCACCAAGCAUAAAAAGUUACCGAGUGAAAUUCUGCAAACUGCACGAGUCUGUAAAAUACAUAAUGAAGAAUACAAGUUUUUUUGUACAAAACAUGAUUGUCCGUGCUGUAAAAAAUGUAAGAAAUCUCACAAAGACUGUAAAGCUUUAACCGACAUCAAUGAAAUCAUACAAGAGGUCAAAACAUCGAAUGCCUUUCGUGAAAUCGAACAAACCCUGCAAGAAGUCGUUAGGAAUAUGAAAAUUCUCAGUACAAACAGAAAAGAUAAUUUAGAAUCAAUAGAAAUCAAGAAAAGACAAAUUGAAGUAGAAAUAAAACAAGCCAGGACAAAGGUAAAUCAUCAACUCGAUCAACUUCAGGAUGGUUUGAUAAAAGAAUUAAUGGCAGUUCAUCAACAAGAAAGUAGUAAAAUACAAAAUAUUUUGACUUCUCUCGACAGUAAAGAAAAAGAGAUCACUGAAUUGCAGGUAUUCUUUGAUAAUAUUAAACAGAAAGCGUCGGAUCUUCAAGCAUUUUUAACCAUGAAAGAAAUUGAAAAAGGUUUGGCAGAUGAAGAAAAAAAUAUUCAAUCGAUUGCCAAUAGUGGAAUCACCAAUAAAGUCAAUAUAUCAUGCCAAAUAAGCCAGCUUCUGCAGCAAAUCACCUCAAAUGUUUCGAAGUUUGGAGAUAUCAAUGUCAGUUCUGAUCCAUGCCAGUUGUUUAUUCACAAUCGGAAAGACAGACAAGCCCAGAUUAUGUUAGCUGUUCCAACAAGAAAUAUCAGUAAUUUAGUUUUGACGUUACAGAAACAUAUCGAUACAAAGUUAUCAGAUGUCCAAGGCUGUUCUCUGCUACCUAAAGGUAGGAUGGUAUUCUCCUGUUAUGAACAAGAUAAAAUAAGAGUCCACAAAUCUAACGGAUCAAAAGAUUACGAAAUCAAUGAUAUUGGUAAAGCGGUCGAUGUGGUUUUUAUUGGAGAUGGCUGUAUUGCUGUUACAUCUGGUCAUUCAAAUAAGAUAAGUAUGAUCGAUAUAAAAAACAAAAAAGUGAAAAAAUUAAUAACAGUUAAUUCAGACAAUUAUGGAGCAGUGUAUAAAGACGGACAUUUGAUUUAUUGUGCCGCGGAGAAAGGGUUAAAGAUGAUUAGUCUGAGUGAUGAAUCCAUUACCAAUGUUACCAGAAACAAACUUACGACCUGGUCAUACGUUACAUUAUUCGGUAGAAAUUUGAUCUAUACAAAUCCUGACAGUCAUACCGUUUCCUGUUGUGAUUAUGAUGAAAACAUACUGUGGACAUUCUGUGAUAAAAGUGUUCUGUGCCUUCCACGCUGUAUCUCUGUAGACAAAGACGGAAACAUAUAUGCAGUUGGAAAUCUUACUCACAAUGUGGUCGUCAUCUCUCCAGGUGGGCAACGCUACAGACAACUUUUGUCACGUGAUGAUGGCCUCAGUUACCCAAAUGUUCUGCACUAUGACAUAUCUACCAAUAAAUUGUUAGUUGCAAAUGCAGCCAAUGACGCGUUCGUAUAUGAUGUUAAAUGAUAAAAAAAAAACACAAAACAAGGUUAACAUCUAUAGUAUAGGA